This is a non-coding RNA of Electrophorus electricus (electric eel), 2675 nucleotides long. The record is from RefSeq and is a predicted model, not a curated record. Lineage: Eukaryota; Metazoa; Chordata; Actinopteri; Gymnotiformes; Gymnotidae.
UCUGCUUGUGAAUGCAGAGGAUCGGUCGAGCCCUGCUCUGCUCAUUCGAGUCUCGGAACAAGACCUCUGCGGCAUGCAGAAGCUGGGCGAGGCUGGCGUGGCACCUGUGAAGGGCUGGGAUGUAUUAGGCAGCAAGUGCACAGUGAGUUCUUGAAGUUGAUGUGUUCGGAAGCAGGAAAAAUUGGCAAGCGUAAGGAUAACUGCAACCUUGUCAAGGACCAAAUUGUGGUGGCUAGAUGACCCAGUCAGAACCUCUCUAAAACAGCAGGUCCUGUGGAGUGCUCCCGGUAUGCAGUGGAGAGUGCCUACCAAAAGUGGUCCAAGGAAGUACAACUGGUAAACCACAAGGUCAUGGCUGCCCAAGGCUCGUUGACGGGCGUAGGAAGUGAAGGCUUGUCUGGUUCGUUCUUACAGAAGAGCUAUUGUAGCACAAAUUGCUAGAACACCCAGUGCAUCACAGCUUGCUGCAUAGCUCCAGACCGGUCAGAGUGCACAUGCUUACCUGUUCACCACCAAAAGUCCCUACAGUGGGACAUUAACAUCAGAACUGGACCGUGGAACAAUUGGGGGGGCGUCUGGUCUGAUGAUACACAUUUUUUUUUACAUCAUGUGGAUGGCCAGGUACAUGUGUGCUGCUUACAUGAGGAAGAGAUGGCACCAGGAUGCACCAUGGGAAGAAGAGGUACUGUGAUGCUCUGGGCACUGUUCUGCUGGGAACCUUUGGGUCCUGGCAUUCGUGUAGAUGUUGCUUCACCACUGUACCACCUACAUAACAUUGUUGCAUGCAAAGUACACCUCUUCAUGGUAAGUGUAUUCCCUAAUGGAAGUGACCUCUUUCAACAGAGUAAUGUUCCCUGCCACAUUGCAAAAAUUGUUCCAAGAAUGGUUUGAGGUACAUGGCAAGGAGUUCAAGGUGUUGACUUGCCCUCCAAAUUUCCCAGAACUCAGUCCAAUUGAGCAUCUGUGGGAUGUACUGGAAAAACAAAGGAUCUGCUGCUAACAUCUUGGUGCCAGAUACCACAGGCCACCUUCAGAGGUCUAAUGGUGUCAGUGGGUCGGAGCUGUUUUGGCUGCACAAGAGGGACCCAUACAGUACUAGCUAGGUUGUUCUAAUGCUAUGGCCGAUUGGUGUAAAACCAUGGGAAAUAUGCAGGGGAAACUUCUGAAAUCACUGAAGUUUAAUUUCAGCUAUAACAGUAUUAAUACUACUGAACGUCUAAAGUUAUUUAUCUGUGAUCUGUAUGAUGUCAAAGAUUGUUAAGAAUAGUUGUAGAUACCGAAUGUUUAUCUGAGUAUCUGUAAAAUAACUUUUUUUGGGGGGUUAGUUAAUGAAUGUAAGAAUCGAGAAGCAACCAAAAUUUGGACAUUAUGACCCCACUGCCUUCAUUUUGAAAUGCACCUGCACCAUGUUUUUGAAACCUACUUCCUCAUCUGCUGUCCAGACAGCAAAAGCCAAUGUUAGAAACAUAAUUAGGGUAAAACCAAGGAAACAGACUCCAUUUGAAACAUGACGGAUGGAGCCAGACCAUCAGUUUAUGCUUUUUUGCCAUCCCAAUUUAUGCAAAUAUGUUUUUACGCCCAAACAUAUUCAGCUGAUUGAAUAAAACAUAUCUAAAAACAAAACACUCGAACAUGAUCAGUUGAAAAUCUGACAAAGCCACAAAAACAUUGGGGCCAGGCGAGUACAAAGCUGAUGUACUUCCUUUAUUCUUUAUUGUAAGUUUAUUUACUGAAAUUAUAUGGCGCAACAUUUGUCCCGCAAGAAAACAAGUCUGUAUUCAUGCCUCUGCUCACUUCUCCCAUUCAGCUCAUCCAUCCACAGAAAACAUGGCACGUUGCUUUUGCGACAACAAAUGAUACAAAAGGACUUGAAGAGUAGAAGUUCUCAGCCUGGGUGGAGCACAGGCCGUCAUUUUCCAGGACAAACAUGAAAGUACCAAGAGCAUCUUUGCUUGCCAAAGACAGCAGAAUAUUCGAGCUGUUCCGAGAGAUCCCCCCCUCCCCCAAUUUUUUUUUUUAACCAAUGUACAACAAAUUAAAUGUACAAACGGUGGUGUAAUAACUUAAAAGCAUCAACUUCAACACAGACAGUUAAGUGAAAUAUUGUGGACAUGUAAAUCUUCCAAUAGUUUAAUAACAAAGGGACCCAGGUGGAUGAAGCACACAGCACAUAGUACAACCAAUACAGUGGAGAUGAAAGUAUAUUUGAGAAUGAAUCAAAAGAAAACGAUAACCUCAUACAUUUUGUGUAGUACUACACAGGGAUCACAUGACAAAAUGACACUCACAAUAUCAAUGGCUUUUGUUUUUUGAAUGUUUUUUUUAUACAAUGUACAAAUGUGUUGAUUUCACGUUUUGUGCCCUGAAGGCUAAAGAGGCAUAUUUACAAUACAUUAUUAACAAUAUGUCUGUCCAUGCAAAUAAGUAUUUUUAAUACUUGUUAUAAGUUUAAUAUUCAUAAAACCUUGACAAGUUUCCAAGUAAAGUAAGAUACAGGAGGGCAUUACUCACAAAAUGACAAACUUCUAGCAGAAAGUUUUUACAUGUAUUUCAUAAGAAAUGCUUUUUAAAAAUCAGCUUUACAGAUAUGAAGUUUUUUUUUUUUUUCUUUCAGUCAACAAAUGCACCUUGGGUCAUGUUGUAUAAUGAAAUAAAAAAGGCAAGGCUUUUGGGAA